Molecule: long non-coding RNA, 539 nt
Organism: Vombatus ursinus (common wombat)
Lineage: Eukaryota; Metazoa; Chordata; Mammalia; Diprotodontia; Vombatidae
Exons: 3
Source: RefSeq, a predicted model, not a curated record
AAAAAAAAAAAAUUACCUGCCAUAAAGGAAUGGGGAAUUGAACGGGGAAGACAACAUGUAAACAACCAAGCACAUAUGAGAUAUAGAGACUAGAUGAAAAGCAAUUUCAGAGCAUAAGAGACACUGCCAAGGAAAUAGCCUGGUCAUCUAAUAAUGGAACCAAUUGACUGAAAGCACUUUGAAGGAAAACCCCAACCCAGCAAAAAGUUGCUGUUCCUGGCUCACUCAAGCUCUGUUCUACAUUUUACCCUUUAAGCCCAGGGGUCCUCUUUGUCAGGGCACAAGAGUACCUCCUGUGCUGAGUCUCCCAUGGGGCUGUAUUUCAGUGAUGCCCCAAGGCUUACUGAUCUUUACACAUAGGUCUAUUUGAUGGUCCUACAUUGUGGUACUUUGUAAGUCCUUUCUGGUUUUUAUAGUUUUUCUCUGUCCUUCACUGUCAGGCUAUCAGGUGUCACUUGUCACUACAGUCAGUAUCCCCUCCCCCAACUUUCUUCUUCAAGGUUUCAAGAGAAAAGCCCAGAUCAUGCUGGCUUUCAUCA